Molecule: microRNA precursor, 59 nt
Filed under: Saccoglossus kowalevskii
Lineage: Eukaryota; Metazoa; Hemichordata; Enteropneusta; Harrimaniidae
Description: Sko-Mir-10-P2_pre stem-loop
Source: RNAcentral
AACCCGUAGAUCCGAACUUGUGUUAGAGUUCGGCUCGCAAGCUCGCAUCUCUGGGUCUA